CCUACGGGUGGCAGCAGUGGGGAAUAUUGCACAAUGGGGGAAACCCUGAUGCAGCGACGCCGCGUGAGUGAGGCAGUAUUUCGGUAUGUAAAGCUCUAUCAGCAGGGAAGAAAAUGACGGUACCUGACUAAGAAGCCCCGGCUAACUACGUGACAGCAGCCGCGGUAAUACGUAGGGGGCAAGCGUUAACCGGAUUUACUGGGUGUAAGGGAGCGUAGGCGGCAAAUCAAGUCCGAAGUGAAAACCCAGGGCUCAACUUUGGGACUGCUGUUGAAACUGAGUAGCUAGAGUGCAGGAGAGGUAAGCGGAAUUCGUAGUGUAGCGGUGAAAUGCGUAGAUAUUAGGAGGAACACCAGUGGCGAAGGCAGCAUACUGGAGUGUAACUGACGUUGAGGCUCGAAAGCGUGGGGAGCGAACAGGAUUAGAUACCCUUGUAGUC
This 439-nucleotide ribosomal RNA is filed under the name uncultured bacterium. RNAcentral describes it as "partial 16S ribosomal RNA". It matches the Rfam family "Bacterial small subunit ribosomal RNA", at positions 338 to 795 of the family's 1533-position model. The record is from RNAcentral.